Molecule: ribosomal RNA, 252 nt
Filed under: uncultured bacterium
Lineage: Bacteria
Description: partial 16S ribosomal RNA
Rfam family: Bacterial small subunit ribosomal RNA
Source: RNAcentral
UACGUAGGGGGCAAGCGUUGUCCGGAAUUAUUGGGCGUAAAGCGCGCGCAGGCGGCUUUGUAAGUCUGGUGUUUAAUCUCGGGGCUCAACCCCGAUUCGCAUUGGAAACUGCAAGGCUUGAGUGCAGAAGAGGAAAGUGGAAUUCCACGUGUAGCGGUGAAAUGCGUAGAGAUCUGGAGGAACACCGGUGGCGAAGGCGACAUCCUGGACCAACACUGACGCUGAGGAGCGAAAGCCAGGGGAGCAAACGGG